This 438-nucleotide ribosomal RNA is filed under the name uncultured bacterium. Its description in RNAcentral is "bacterial SSU rRNA". It matches the Rfam family "Bacterial small subunit ribosomal RNA", at positions 958 to 1387 of the family's 1533-position model. The record is from RNAcentral.
AACGCGAAGAACCUUACCUACCCUUGACAUCCUUGGAAUUUUCUAGAAAUAGGAAAGUGCCUUCGGGAACCAGGAGACAGGUGCUGCAUGGCUGUCGUCAGCUCGUGUCGUGAGAUGUUGGGUUAAGUCCCGUAACGAGCGCAACCCUCGCCCUUAGUUGCUAACGGUUCGGCCGAGAACUCUAAGGGGACUGCCGGUGAUAAACCGGAGGAAGGCGGGGAUGAUGUCAAGUCAUCAUGGCCCUCACGGGUAGGGCUACACACGUGCUACAAUGGGCGGUACAAAGGGUUGCCAAACCGCAAGGUGGAGCUAAUCCCAAAAAACCGCUCGUAGUCCAGAUUGGAGUCUGCAACUCGACUCCAUGAAGUCGGAAUCGCUAGUAAUCGUGAAUCAGAAUGUCGCGGUGAAUACGUUCCCGGGCCUUGUACACCCGCAUAC